CCUACGGGAGGCAGCAGUGAGGAAUAUUGGUCAAUGGACGAAAGUCUGAACCAGCCAAGUAGCGUGAAGGAUGACUGCCCUAUGGGUUGUAAACCUCUUUUAUAUGGGGAUAAAACGUUCCACGUGUGGGAUUUUGUAUGUACCAUAUGAAUAAGGAUCGGCUAACUCCGUGCCAGCAGCCGCGGUAAUACGGAGGGUCCGAGCGUUAUCCGGAUUUAUUGGGUUUAAAGGGAGCGUAGGUGGGUUGUUAAGUCAGUUGUGAAAGUUUGCGGCUCAACCGUGAAAUUGCAGUUGAAACUGGCAGUCUUGAGUACAGGAGAGGUGGGCGGAAUUCGUGGUGUAGCGGUGAAAUGCUUAGAUAUCACGAAGAACUCCGAUUGCGAAGGCAGUUCACUGGACUGCAACUGACACUGAGGCUCGAAAGUGUGGGUAUCGAACAGGAUUAGAUACCCGAGUAGUC
RNAcentral lists this ribosomal RNA (460 nucleotides) under uncultured bacterium. RNAcentral's name for it is "partial 16S ribosomal RNA". It matches the Rfam family "Bacterial small subunit ribosomal RNA", at positions 338 to 795 of the family's 1533-position model. The record is from RNAcentral.